RNAcentral lists this ribosomal RNA (350 nucleotides) under uncultured bacterium. Its description in RNAcentral is "bacterial SSU rRNA". It matches the Rfam family "Bacterial small subunit ribosomal RNA", at positions 355 to 697 of the family's 1533-position model. The record is from RNAcentral.
UAGGGAAUAUUGCGCAAUGGGGGAAACCCUGACGCAGCAACGCCGUGUGAGGGAGGAAGGCCUUAGGGUUGUAAACCUCUGUCAAUAGGGAAGAACGGUCAGUAUAGGAAAUGAUAUUGAUUUGACGGUACCUAUAAAGGAAGCACCGGCUAACUUCGUGCCAGCAGCCGCGGUAAUACGAAGGGUGCAAGCGUUGUUCGGAUUUAUUGGGCGUAAAGCGCGCGCAGGCGGAAUGGCAAGUCAGAUGUGAAAUCUCGGGGCUUAACCCCGAAACUGCGUCUGAAACUGCUGUUCUAGAGUCUUGGAGAGGAAAGGGGAAUUUCACGUGUAGGGGUAAAAUCCGUAGAGAU